GAUGAACGCUGGCGGCGUGCCUAACACAUGCAAGUCGAGCGAACGAAGGGGGAUUUCCCCCGUUUACGGUGGCGGCCGGCUGGGUAAUGACUAGGAGUCUACCUUACUUUUAGGAUUGGCAUACUUUGGGGAACCCGAACACAUCACGGGUCAUGAUAUUGAACGCGUGGGUUCAUCGGACAACACGGUUUUUGAUGAGCCUAUGAGUGGGUACCGAGCCGCAUUAGCAAGUUGGUAAGGUAACGGCUUACCAAGGCAACGAUGCGUGGCCGACCUGAGAGGGUGAUCGGCCACACUGGAACUGAGACACGGUCCAGACUCCUACGGGAGGCAGCAGUAGGGAAUCUUGCGCAAUGGGCGAAAGCCUGACGGAGCAACGCCGCGUGAGUGAUGAAGGUCUUCGGAUCGUAAAACUCUGUUAUUAGGGAAGAACAAAUGUGUAAGUAACUAUGCACGUCUUGACGGUACCUAAUCAGAAAGCCACGGCUAACUACGUG
Molecule: ribosomal RNA, 497 nt
Filed under: uncultured bacterium
Lineage: Bacteria
Description: partial 16S ribosomal RNA
Rfam family: Bacterial small subunit ribosomal RNA
Source: RNAcentral